UGCUUGUGUGCCACAGCCGCACGCUCCCAUCACCACAUUGGCUGUGUCAGUCCAAGACUUCAUGUGGAAGUGAAUCCAACGAGAGUUCACUGCACAACUGUGGCUGCGCAAAACCUGGGAUGGUGCAAGAACAAAAUCAUCAGAUGUGCUGACAUUCUUAUCCUUCAAAAUGUAAAAGGGAACAGUGAGAUAACAGGAUGUGAGGUGAUGAAAUGUACUCUGCUUCUGGGAAGGGCUUUCUGCCAGCAUGGCUAAGGCAUGAUGUGAUUCAUCAAGCAAUAAUCUGAGUGAAAAUAAAAAUCCAAUAGCAAUUAUGAAGUAGAAACUAUCAUCAGUUCAUCAGAAAUUAACUAAUUCAUGGAGUAGAGUUUCUCAUAGUCAAG
Molecule: non-coding RNA, 383 nt
Organism: Taeniopygia guttata (zebra finch)
Lineage: Eukaryota; Metazoa; Chordata; Aves; Passeriformes; Estrildidae
Source: RefSeq, a predicted model, not a curated record